GACGAACGCUGGCGGCGUGCCUAAUACAUGCAAGUUGAGCGCUGAAGGUUGGUACUUGUACCGACUGGAUGAGCAGCGAACGGGUGAGUAACGCGUGGGGAAUCUGCCUUUGAGCGGGGGACAACAUUUGGAAACGAAUGCUUAUACCGCAUAAAAACUUUAAACACAAGUUUUAAGUUUGAAAGAUGCAAUUGCAUCACUCAAAGAUGAUCCCGCGUUGUAUUAGCUAGUUGGUGAGGUAAAGGCUCACCAAGGCGAUGAUACAUAGCCGACCUGAGAGGGUGAUCGGCCACAUUGGGACUGGGACACGGCCCAAACUCCUACGGGAGGCAGCAGUAGGGAAUCUUCGGCAAUGGACGAAAGUCUGACCGAGCAACGCCGCGUGAGUGAAGAAGGUUUUCGGAUCGUAAAACUCUGUUGGUAGAGAAGAACGUUGGUGAGAGUGGAAAGCUCAUCAAGUGACGGUAACUACCCAGAAAGGGACGGCUAACUACGUG
This 497-nucleotide ribosomal RNA is filed under the name uncultured bacterium. RNAcentral describes it as "partial 16S ribosomal RNA". It matches the Rfam family "Bacterial small subunit ribosomal RNA", at positions 28 to 507 of the family's 1533-position model. The record is from RNAcentral.